RNAcentral lists this ribosomal RNA (436 nucleotides) under uncultured bacterium. RNAcentral's name for it is "partial 16S ribosomal RNA". It matches the Rfam family "Bacterial small subunit ribosomal RNA", at positions 29 to 507 of the family's 1533-position model. The record is from RNAcentral.
AACGAACGCUGGCGGCAUGCCUAACACAUGCAAGUCGAACGAGAUCCUUCGGGGUCUAGUGGCGCACGGGUGCGUAACGCGUGGGAAUCUGCCCUUAGGUUCGGAAUAACAGUUAGAAAUGACUGCUAAUACCGGAUGAUGACGUUAAGUCCAAAGAUUUAUCGCCUGAGGAUGAGCCCGCGUAGGAUUAGCUAGUUGGUGUGGUAAAGGCGCACCAGGGCGACGAUCCUUAGCUGGUCUGAGAGGAUGAUCAGCCACACUGGGACUGAGACACGGCCCAGACUCCUACGGGAGGCAGCAGUGGGGAAUAUUGGACAAUGGGCGCAAGCCUGAUCCAGCAAUGCCGCGUGAGUGAUGAAGGCCUUAGGGUUGUAAAGCUCUUUUACCCGAGAUGAUAAUGACAGUAUCGGGAGAAUAAGCCCCGGCUAACUCCGUG